This 467-nucleotide ribosomal RNA is filed under the name uncultured bacterium. Its description in RNAcentral is "partial 16S ribosomal RNA". It matches the Rfam family "Bacterial small subunit ribosomal RNA", at positions 28 to 507 of the family's 1533-position model. The record is from RNAcentral.
GACGAACGCUGGCGGCGUGCUUAACACAUGCAAGUCGAACGGAAAGGCCUCUUUCGGGGGGUACUCGAGUGGCGAACGGGUGAGUAACACGUGAGUAACCUGCCCUCGUCUUUGGGAUAACUUCAGUAAACUGGGGCUAAUACCGGAUAGGUGCUCCUUUUGCACGGUUGGGGUUGGAAAGAUUCGGGGGUUGGGGGUGGACUCGCGGCUUAUCAGCUUGUUGGUGGGGUGGUGGCUUACCAAGGCUUUGACGGGUAGCCGGACAGUGAGGGUGACCGGCCACAUUGGGACUGAGAGACGGCCCAGACUCCUACGGGAGGGAGCAGGGGGGAAUAUUGCACAAUGGGUGGAAGCCUGAUGCAGCAACGCCGUGUGCGGGAUGACGGCCUUCGGGUUGUAAACCGCUUUCGCUCAUGACGAAGCUUUGUGUGACGGUAGUGGGUAAAGAAGCACCGGCUAACUACGUG